GGUUUGAUCAUGGCUCAGAUUGAACGCUGGCGGGAUGCUUUACACAUGCAAGUCGAACGGCAGCACGGACUUCGGUCUUUGGUGGUGAGUGGCGAACGGGUGAGUAAUGUAUCGGAACGUGCCUAGUAGCGGGGGAUAACUACGCGAAAGCGUAGCCAAUACCGCAUACGCCCUUCGGGGGAAAGCGGGGACCUUCGGGCCUCGCACUAUUAGAGCGGCCGAUAUCGGAUUAGCUAGUUGGUGGGGUAACGGCUCACCAAGGCGACGAUCCGUAGCUGGUCAUUUGAGAGGACGACCAGCCACACUGGGACUGAGACACGGCCCAGACUCCUACGGGAGGCAGUAGUGGGGAAUUUUGACAACAAAACCCUGAUCCAGCCAUCCCGCGUGUGCGAUGAAGGCCUUCGGGUUGUAAAGCACUUUUUUUGGCAGGAAAGAAACGGCACGGGAUAAUACCCCGUGCAACUGACGGUACCUGCAGAAUAAGCACCGGCUAACUACGUGCCAGCAGCCGCGGUAAUAAUGUAGGUGCAAGCGUUAAUCGGAAUUACUGGGCGUAAAGCGUGCGCAGGCGGUUCGAAAGAAAGAUGUGGAAUCCCAGAGCUUAACUUUGAACUGCAUUUUUAACUACCGAGCUAUGUGUCAGAGGGAGGUGGAAUUCCGCGUGUAGCAGUGAAAUGCGUAGAUAUGCGGAGGAACACCGAUGGCGAAGGCAGCCUCCUGAUAACACUGACGCUCAUGCACGAAAGCGUGUGGAGCAAACAGGAUUAGACAUUCCGGUAGUCCACGCCCUAAACGAUGUCAACUAGCUGUUGGGGCCUUCGGGCCUUGCAGCGCAGCUAAUGCGUGAAGUUGACCGCCCAGAGUACGGUCGCAAGAUUAAAACUCAAAGGAAUUGACGGGGACCCGCACAAGCGGUGGAUGAUGUGGAUUAAUUCGAUGCAACGCGAAAACCUUACCUACCCUUGACAUGUCUGAAAUCCCGAAGAGAUUUGGGAGUGCUCGCAAGAGAACCGGAACACAGGUGCUGCAUGGCUGUCGUCAGCUCGUGUCGUGAGAUGUUGGGUUAAGUCCCGCAACGAGCGCAACCCUUGUCAUUAGUUGCUACGAAAGGGCACUCUAAUGAGACUGCCGGUGACAAACCGGAGGAAGGUGGGAUGACGUCAAGUCCUCAUGGCCCUUAUGGGUAGGCUUCACACGUCAUACAAUGGUCGGGACAGAGGGUCGCCAACCCGCGAGGGGGAGCCAAUCCCAGAAACCCGAUCGUAGUCCGGAUCGCAGUCUGCAACUCGACUGCGUGAAGUCGGAAUCGCUAGUAAUCGCGGAUCAGCAUGUCGCGGUGAAUACGUUCCUGGUCUUGUACACACCGCCCGUCACACCAUGGGAGUGGGUUUUACCAGAAGUAGUUAGCCUAACCGUAAGGAGGGCGAUUAACACCACGGUAGGAUUCAUGACCGGGGUGAAGUCGUAACAAGGUAG
RNAcentral lists this ribosomal RNA (1479 nucleotides) under uncultured Bordetella sp. RNAcentral's name for it is "partial 16S-23S ribosomal RNA intergenic spacer". It matches the Rfam family "Bacterial small subunit ribosomal RNA". The record is from RNAcentral. Lineage: Bacteria; Pseudomonadati; Pseudomonadota; Betaproteobacteria; Burkholderiales; Alcaligenaceae.